AACGCACAUUGCGCCCCUUGGUAUUCCAUGGGGCAUGCCUGUUCGAGCGUCAUUUGUACCCUCAAGCUUUGCUUGGUGUUGGGUGUUUGUCCGCGUCUGACGCAGACUCGCCUUGAAUCAAUUGGCAGCCGGCAUGUUAGCCUGGAGCGCAGCACAUUUUGCGCACCUUGCUGGCGGUGUUGGCCCCCAUCAAGUCCAUAUAUUUGCUCUUGACCUCGGAUCAGGUAGGGAUACCCGCUGAACUUAA
RNAcentral lists this unclassified non-coding RNA (247 nucleotides) under uncultured fungus. RNAcentral describes it as "partial contains 5.8S ribosomal RNA, internal transcribed spacer 2, and large subunit ribosomal RNA". The record is from RNAcentral. Lineage: Eukaryota; Fungi.